Molecule: ribosomal RNA, 468 nt
Filed under: uncultured bacterium
Lineage: Bacteria
Description: partial 16S ribosomal RNA
Rfam family: Bacterial small subunit ribosomal RNA
Source: RNAcentral
GACGAACGCUGGCGGCGUGCUUAACACAUGCAAGUCGAACGGAAAGGCCCUGCUUUUGUGGGGUGCUCGAGUGGCGAACGGGUGAGUAACACGUGAGUAACCUGCCCUUGACUUUGGGAUAACUUCAGGAAACUGGGGCUAAUACCGGAUAGGAGCUCCUGCUGCAUGGUGGGGGUUGGAAAGUUUCGGCGGUUGGGGAUGGACUCGCGGCUUAUCAGCUUGUUGGUGGGGUAGUGGCUUACCAAGGCUUUGACGGGUAGCCGGCCUGAGAGGGUGACCGGCCACAUUGGGACUGAGAUACGGCCCAGACUCCUACGGGAGGCAGCAGUGGGAAAUAUUGCACAAUGGGCGGAAGCCUGAUGCAGCAACGCCGCGUGCGGGAUGACGGCCUUCGGGUUGUAAACCGCUUUCGCCUGUGACAAGGCGUGAGUGACGGUAAUGAGUAAAGAAGCACCGGCUAACUACGUG